GAUGAACGCUGGCGGCGUGCCUAAUACAUGCAAGUCGAGCGAACGGACGAGAAGCUUGCUUCUCUGAUGUUAGCGGCGGACGGGUGAGUAACACGUGGAUAACCUACCUAUAAGACUGGGAUAACUUCGGGAAACCGGAGCUAAUACCGGAUAAUAUUUUGAACCGCAUGGUUCAAAAGUGAAAGACGGUCUUGCUGUUACUUAUAGAUGGAUCCGCGCUGCAUUAGCUAGUUGGUAAGGUAACGGCUUACCAAGGCAACGAUGCAUAGCCGACCUGAGAGGGUGAUCGGCCACACUGGAACUGGGACACGGGCCAGACUCCUACGGGAGGCAGCAGUAGGGAAUCUUCCGCAAUGGGCGAAAGCCUGACGGAGCAACGCCGCGUGAGUGAUGAAGGUCUUCGGAUCGUAAAACUCUGUUAUUAGGGAAGAACAUAUGUGUAAGUAACUGUGCACAUCUUGACGGUACCUAGUCAGAAAGCCACGGCUAACUACGUG
This 497-nucleotide ribosomal RNA is filed under the name uncultured bacterium. RNAcentral's name for it is "partial 16S ribosomal RNA". It matches the Rfam family "Bacterial small subunit ribosomal RNA", at positions 28 to 507 of the family's 1533-position model. The record is from RNAcentral.